This 2897-nucleotide ribosomal RNA is filed under the name Klebsiella pneumoniae. RNAcentral describes it as "23S ribosomal RNA". It matches the Rfam family "Bacterial large subunit ribosomal RNA". The record is from RNAcentral. Lineage: Bacteria; Pseudomonadati; Pseudomonadota; Gammaproteobacteria; Enterobacterales; Enterobacteriaceae.
UUAAGCGACUAAGCGUACACGGUGGAUGCCCUGGCAGUCAGAGGCGAUGAAGGACGUGCUAAUCUGCGAAAAGCGUCGGUAAGGUGAUAUGAACCGUUACAGCCGGCGAUGUCCGAAUGGGGAAACCCAGUGUGAUUCGUCACACUAUCGUUAACUGAAUACAUAGGUUAACGAGGCGAACCGGGGGAACUGAAACAUCUAAGUACCCCGAGGAAAAGAAAUCAACCGAGAUUCCCCCAGUAGCGGCGAGCGAACGGGGAGCAGCCCAGAGUCUGAAUCAGCUUGUGUGUUAGUGGAACGGUCUGGAAAGUCCGACGGUACAGGGUGAUAGUCCCGUACACCAAAAUGCACAGGNNNNNNNUGUGAACUCGAAGAGUAGGGCGGGACACGUGGUAUCCUGUCUGAAUAUGGGGGGACCAUCCUCCAAGGCUAAAUACUCCUGACUGACCGAUAGUGAACCAGUACCGUGAGGGAAAGGCGAAAAGAACCCCGGCGAGGGGAGUGAAAAAGAACCUGAAACCGUGUACGUACAAGCAGUGGGAGCACCUUCGGGUGUGACUGCGUACCUUUUGUAUAAUGGGUCAGCGACUUAUAUUCUGUAGCAAGGUUAACCGUAUAGGGGAGCCGCAGGGAAACCGAGUCUUAACUGGGCGUUAAGUUGCAGGGUAUAGACCCGAAACCCGGUGAUCUAGCCAUGGGCAGGUUGAAGGUUGGGUAACACUAACUGGAGGACCGAACCGACUAAUGUUGAAAAAUUAGCGGAUGACUUGUGGCUGGGGGUGAAAGGCCAAUCAAACCGGGAGAUAGCUGGUUCUCCCCGAAAGCUAUUUAGGUAGCGCCUCGUGAACUCAUCUUCGGGGGUAGAGCACUGUUUCGGCUAGGGGGUCAUCCCGACUUACCAACCCGAUGCAAACUACGAAUACCGAAGAAUGUUAUCACGGGAGACACACGGCGGGUGCUAACGUCCGUCGUGAAGAGGGAAACAACCCAGACCGCCAGCUAAGGUCCCAAAGUCAUGGUUAAGUGGGAAACGAUGUGGGAAGGCACAGACAGCCAGGAUGUUGGCUUAGAAGCAGCCAUCAUUUAAAGAAAGCGUAAUAGCUCACUGGUCGAGUCGGCCUGCGCGGAAGAUGUAACGGGGCUAAACCAUGCACCGAAGCUGCGGCAGCGACACUAUGUGUUGUUGGGUAGGGGAGCGUUCUGUAAGCCUGCGAAGGUGUGCUGUGAGGCAUGCUGGAGGUAUCAGAAGUGCGAAUGCUGACAUAAGUAACGAUAAAGCGGGUGAAAAGCCCGCUCGCCGGAAGACCAAGGGUUCCUGUCCAACGUUAAUCGGGGCAGGGUGAGUCGACCCCUAAGGCGAGGCCGAAAGGCGUAGUCGAUGGGAAACAGGUUAAUAUUCCUGUACUUGGUGUUACUGCGAAGGGGGGACGGAGAAGGCUAUGUUAGCCGGGCGACGGUUGUCCCGGUUUAAGCAUGUAGGCUGAUUGUCCAGGCAAAUCCGGAUAAUCAAGGCUGAGGUGUGAUGACGAGGCACUACGGUGCUGAAGUAACAAAUGCCCUGCUUCCAGGAAAAGCCUCUAAGCAUCAGGUAACAUUAAAUCGUACCCCAAACCGACACAGGUGGUCAGGUAGAGAAUACCAAGGCGCUUGAGAGAACUCGGGUGAAGGAACUAGGCAAAAUGGUGCCGUAACUUCGGGAGAAGGCACGCUGGUGUGUAGGUGAAGNUGGAGCUGAGACCAGUCGAAGAUACCAGCUGGCUGCAACUGUUUAUUAAAAACACAGCACUGUGCAAACACGAAAGUGGACGUAUACGGUGUGACGCCUGCCCGGUGCCGGAAGGUUAAUUGAUGGGGUUAUCCGUAAGGAGAAGCUCUUGAUCGAAGCCCCGGUAAACGGCGGCCGUAACUAUAACGGUCCUAAGGUAGCGAAAUUCCUUGUCGGGUAAGUUCCGACCUGCACGAAUGGCGUAAUGAUGGCCAGGCUGUCUCCACCCGAGACUCAGUGAAAUUGAACUCGCUGUGAAGAUGCAGUGUACCCGCGGCAAGACGGAAAGACCCCGUGAACCUUUACUAUAGCUUGACACUGAACAUUGAGCCUUGAUGUGUAGGAUAGGUGGGAGGCUUUGAAGCGUGGACGCCAGUCUGCGUGGAGCCAACCUUGAAAUACCACCCUUUAAUGUUUGAUGUUCUAACGUUGGCCCCUUACCGGGGUUGCGGACAGUGUCUGGUGGGUAGUUUGACUGGGGCGGUCUCCUCCCAAAGCGUAACGGAGGAGCACGAAGGUUAGCUAAUCCUGGUCGGACAUCAGGAGGUUAGUGCAAUGGCAUAAGCUAGCUUGACUGCGAGCGUGACGGCGCGAGCAGGUGCGAAAGCAGGUCAUAGUGAUCCGGUGGUUCUGAAUGGAAGGGCCAUCGCUCAACGGAUAAAAGGUACUCCGGGGAUAACAGGCUGAUACCGCCCAAGAGUUCAUAUCGACGGCGGUGUUUGGCACCUCGAUGUCGGCUCAUCACAUCCUGGGGCUGAAGUAGGUCCCAAGGGUAUGGCUGUUCGCCAUUUAAAGUGGUACGCGAGCUGGGUUUAGAACGUCGUGAGACAGUUCGGUCCCUAUCUGCCGUGGGCGCUGGAGAAUUGAGGGGGGCUGCUCCUAGUACGAGAGGACCGGAGUGGACGCAUCACUGGUGUUCGGGUUGUCAUGCCAAUGGCACUGCCCGGUAGCUAAAUGCGGAAGAGAUAAGUGCUGAAAGCAUCUAAGCACGAAACUUGCCCCGAGAUGAGUUCUCCCUGAGACUUUAAGUCUCCUGAAGGAACGUUGAAGACGACGACGUUGAUAGGCCGGGUGUGUAAGCGCAGCGAUGCGUUGAGCUAACCGGUACUAAUGAACCGUGAGGCUUAACCUU